This 459-nucleotide ribosomal RNA is filed under the name uncultured bacterium. RNAcentral's name for it is "partial 16S ribosomal RNA". It matches the Rfam family "Bacterial small subunit ribosomal RNA", at positions 338 to 795 of the family's 1533-position model. The record is from RNAcentral.
CCUACGGGAGGCAGCAGUGAGGAAUAUUGGUCAAUGGCCGGAAGGCUGAACCAGCCAAGCCGCGUGAAGGACGAAGGUGCCAAGCAUUGUAAACUUCUUUUGUCAAGGGACAAAAUCAGGCUCGAGAGCCUGACCGAGGGUACUUGAAGAAAAAGCAUCGGCUAACUCCGUGCCAGCAGCCGCGGUAAUACGGAGGAUGCGAGCGUUAUCCGGAGUUAUGGGGUUAAAAGGGUGCGUAGGCGGGCUGUUAAGUCAGCGGUAAAAGCCCGGGGCUCAACCCCGGCGAGCCGUUGAAACUGGCUGGCUGGAGAUGUGGAGAGGUAUGCGGAAUGCGCAGUGUAGCGGUGAAAUGCUUAGAUAUUGCGCAGAACUCCGAUUGCGAAGGCAGCAUACCGGCGGCGAUCUGACGCUGAGGCACGAAAGCGUGGGUAUCGAACAGGAUUAGAUACCCCUGUAGUC